Molecule: ribosomal RNA, 337 nt
Filed under: uncultured bacterium
Lineage: Bacteria
Description: bacterial SSU rRNA
Rfam family: Bacterial small subunit ribosomal RNA
Source: RNAcentral
AGAGUUUGAUUCUGGCUCAGGACGAACGCUGGCGGCGUGCCUAACACAUGCAAGUCGAGCGGGGAAUGAUUGGUAGCUUGCUACUGGUUAUUUCUAGCGGCGGACGGGUGAGUAACGCGUGAGCAACCUGCCUUUAUCAGGGGGAUAACGCAUCGAAAGAUGUGCUAAUACCGCGUAAGACCACAGCUUCACAUGGAGCAGGGGUCAAAGGAGCAAUCCGGAUAAAGAUGGGCUCGCGUCCGAUUAGCUAGUUGGUGAGAUAACAGCCCACCAAGGCGACGAUCGGUAGCCGACCUGAGAGGGUGAUCGGCCACAUUGGAACUGAGAAACGGUCCAG